RNAcentral lists this ribosomal RNA (487 nucleotides) under uncultured bacterium. RNAcentral describes it as "partial 16S ribosomal RNA". It matches the Rfam family "Bacterial small subunit ribosomal RNA", at positions 28 to 523 of the family's 1533-position model. The record is from RNAcentral.
GAUGAACGCUGGCGGCGUGCUUAACACAUGCAAGUCGAACGAAGCACUUUUAAUUCUUCGGAAGAGGAAGUGACUGAGUGGCGGACGGGUGAGUAACGCGUGGGUAACCUGCCUUAUACAGGGGGAUAACAGGUAGAAAUGACUGCUAAUACCGCAUAAGCCGAUAGAGUCGCAUGACUUAGUCGGAAAAGAUUUAUCGGUAUAAGAUGGACCCGCGUCUGAUUAGCUAGUUGGUGAGGUAAUGGCCCACCAAGGCGACGAUCAGUAGCCGGCUUGAGAGAGUGAACGGCCACAUUGGGACUGAGACACGGCCCAAACUCCUACGGGAGGCAGCAGUGGUGAAUAUUGCACAAUGGGGGAAACCCUGAUGCAGCAACGCCGCGUGAAGGAAGAAGUAUUUCGGUAUGUAAACUUCUAUCAGCAGGGAAGAAAAUGACGGUACCUGAUUAAGAAGCCCCGGCUAACUACGUGCCAGCAGCCGCAGUAA